Molecule: long non-coding RNA, 1806 nt
Filed under: Mytilus galloprovincialis (Mediterranean mussel)
Lineage: Eukaryota; Metazoa; Mollusca; Bivalvia; Mytilida; Mytilidae
Source: RNAcentral
UCGUAUUUUUGUAAAGUUCAUGUGAAAAUAACAUAAAAAAUUUCACGUGGGAUUCAUUUGAAUUACUGAGUUUUAAACUUCAUCAUUUAAGACAAUGGUGGUGUCGCUGCUUCAUCAAUGCAGAAAUAGAGUACUUUAAAAAUUUGAUUCAGUUAAGUUUUAUGAUUGAUCGGUGUUUGAUGGUUUAUUUAACGUUCAGUGGCAAAUAGUUCAUGCAUGUUCGGAACGAUACAAUACAAUUUUGAAAACAGUCGGACAAACCUUGCAAACUGUAUGCAAAAUUUCACAGGGUCAUUUGUGGAAAAAUAUUUACGAACAAAUCUUGAGAUCAUAUAUGCAUUCUUUAUAAGUAAAACAAACUGCACAUGCGAAACAUAAAAGUUUCAGCUUGAAAUGCCACAUGAUGUAGGAAAUGUAAGCCGGAGUCUGCGUGCCUUUUAUAUUUUAUCAAAACGCCUAAUCCAGCAACCUGUCAUGAACAAAAAAUAAAGAAAAUCCAGACGAUAUGCGCACUUUUAAUAUGAGUAGUAACACCAGGUACAUAAUUGAAACCUGAAGCAAAAAGACUGUAUAGUCCUAAAUAAUAAGCCGUAUAAACCCUGUAUACACCAAGUGCGGGAUUGUUCGUAAACUUUGUCGAUUUCUUUGAAAAAAUUAGAGGCAAUGAUUUAAAUUUUAACAACUGAUGUUUCAAGUGACGGGUGUAAAUUGUAGGAUUGAUUGUUGGUUGCUUAACGACCAGUGGCAAAUAUGUCAUGCAUGUUCAGGACGAGAACAUGUUUACAUCAACAAAAAUAUUUAUAGUUGCAAGUGGAUACUUGGGACUGGAUUAAAUCAGACACUAACGGGAAAUGAUUUUUAUUUUUUUUUAUUUUUGCCGAGUCAAGUUCCCAUGUAUUUCUUAGCCUACGGUAACUUUCUCAGGCCUUAUUCUGAUGUUGCUGUCUGUCCUGUGUAGACUUGGUCUAUGAUAUUACGACGCUAGCACUUUAUUUGUAAAAUGUUUCCGAAACUAUAUCGGAUUUACUCUGUACAGACUGUUUACACUUGGAAUACCGGAAAUGUUAUUCGGCAAAAUUACCAAUUAAACCACUUUUCUACAUUCCAUACUAACAAACUAUUUUCUGUAUGAGUUUUAAAGUGUGGUUAUAUUGUGCUUUUUUACCUUAUUCUAUCCGUAUUGAGGGGGAAGGACCUUUAUCGGGACUCCGGGGUCAGGUGUUUUUGAAUUCGGGAUUUCGGGAUUGACCCUUUCGGGAUCUGGGAAUUCGUUUUUUCGAAUUUCGGGAUGGCGGGAUUUCAAUUUUUUAAAUUCGGGACCUCGGGAUAUCAUGCUUUUAAGUCCGGGAUUUCGGGAUCAGGACCCCUCCUAUUCAGUAUUCUCAUCCAGAUAAAUUUCCUUUUUCCUUUUUGCCCGAGCGGUGUUUUUGACGAUCAUUUUAACACGAAUUUAUAGCUGUACAAUUAAGUUUCUAUAGACAAGAUUUCUAUUUUCAAAACAAAAUUUCAUGGGGAUACGGCGUUCAUCAUGAAACAGUUUUUAUUGCGAAAUAAACUAACUGAAGAGUAAAAUAAAAUGAUAAAACUUAGUUUAUUUUCCAUAAGAACAUAAUUAUAAAGAUAAAUCGUGCAGAUGCUAAAAUAUUAAAGAAACACAAUAUGAAUUAAAAGUAAAGUAAUACAUUGUUUAAGGUUAACAAUGAGCAGAAGAAUUACCGGAAAACGAUAAAACAAUCUAUGUCGAAAAGUUAACCGUUACGUAUUGCAUCAAAACUCUCGGCACUCCGCAUUUAGAAAAAGUUACCG